RNAcentral lists this ribosomal RNA (84 nucleotides) under Chinchilla lanigera (long-tailed chinchilla). Lineage: Eukaryota; Metazoa; Chordata; Mammalia; Rodentia; Chinchillidae. The record is from RNAcentral.
AUCUACGGCUAUAUUGCCCUGAAAGCGCCCGAUCUCGUUUGAUCUCAGAAGCUAAGCAGGGUCGGGCCCGGUUAGUAGUUGAAU